UGGGGAAUUUUGCACAAUGGGGGAAACCCUGAUGCAGCGACGCCGCGUGAUUUAGAAGGCCUUCGGGUUGUAAAAAUCUUUUCUAUGGGAAGAAAAUGACAGUACCAUAGGAAUAAGGACCGGCUAAUUACGUGCCAGCAGCCGCGGUAAUACGUAAGGUCCGAGCGUUGUCCGGAAUCAUUGGGCGUAAAGGGUACGUAGGCGGGUAAGCAAGUUAGAAGUGAAAUCCUGUAGCUCAACUACAGUAAGCUUUUAAAACUGCUCAUCUUGAGAUAUGGAAGGGAAAGUGGAAUUCCUAGUGUAGCGGUGAAAUGCGCAGAUAUUAGGAGGAAUACCGGUGGCGAAGGCGACUCUCUGGUCUGUAACUGACGCUGAGGUUCGAAAGCGUGGGUAGCAAACAGG
Molecule: ribosomal RNA, 402 nt
Filed under: Bacteroidota bacterium
Lineage: Bacteria; Pseudomonadati; Bacteroidota
Description: Bacteroidetes bacterium partial 16S ribosomal RNA
Rfam family: Bacterial small subunit ribosomal RNA
Source: RNAcentral